GAAUGAUACAAAGAAGAUUAGCAUGGCCCCUGCACAAGGAUGACACACAAAAUUCAUGAAGCGUUCCAUAAAAAA
Molecule: small nuclear RNA, 75 nt
Filed under: Myotis lucifugus (little brown bat)
Lineage: Eukaryota; Metazoa; Chordata; Mammalia; Chiroptera; Vespertilionidae
Source: RNAcentral